Molecule: long non-coding RNA, 207 nt
Filed under: Mytilus galloprovincialis (Mediterranean mussel)
Lineage: Eukaryota; Metazoa; Mollusca; Bivalvia; Mytilida; Mytilidae
Source: RNAcentral
CAGGGAGAUCGCUAAACGCUUGGCUGUCAUCGUAUUCCAGGAUACGAGCCUCGGCUUCUGCGGCUGCAGCUUCUCUCUGUGCUUCAAGAAGGUUAAAUUUGGCUUUCAAGCUCAGGCUUUUCAGGGCUUACCCGUACGGCUUCUUGUUGCAUUUGAGCCUUCCUGCGCAUAGCCUCUUGUUCUACUUGCGUUUUUCUGUGAGCGGCC